CCUCCCCUCGGGGCCCCCAAAACUUCCCGGGGGGCUGCAGGAGGGGGCUGCCCACAGCCCUCUGUGAGAGGGGGCAGCCUUGCAGCUGCCGGGCUGCCUUGUCGCCCUGUUCCCCACCCCGCUGCACCCCGCUCUCCCCUCAGGCAGGCGCCUCCCUCCGGGCAGUGCGGCGGGAGUUGGUGCCGGGACAAGGCGGCGGGGAGCUCGGCUACUUGCCCAGAUGUCUGGAAACAGUCUGGGAUACUAAAUAGUUCAAGAAGAUCUACACAGAGACUCACACUGUAUAUAGUUUGGACUUUUUUCAGAGUGCCACAGUGAAGUUCAGUUCUAUGCCCUCACAAAGAAGAAUAACAAAAGAGGCUCCAAUUCAGGAAACAUCAAAACUUGCAGAGCUCUCAUUCUGCUCCCUACUCUUCUCGUGUAGUUUGGGAGUCCUGUGGAAGAGAACUCUUCUGGUGACCCUUUGCUCAAUGGAAAUAGCUUCUGUUCUUACGGCACGAGAGCCUGGGCCCUUCAAGAAGAUGCCUCCCAGCUUGACAGCUGCCUGCAAGGAUGCCCUCACAGGCCAAGGCUGGGCACCUAUUUCAGAUAAAUAGAAGUAUCUGCCUAAAUAUAGGCUUCCUUCAAAACUAUGUGCAUUCUGUGAUACCAAGUGUGUUUCUGAGACGAUAUUCAAUGUAUAUUGCAGUAAUAUCUGAUGAAAGGGGGCAGAAAAUAAUGCAGAAAUCCUAGUACUAAUGAGAGUUUACCAGUAAUUUGGGAUUCUUCUUAACAGUUUGUUUGGCAAGAUUUCUAUAUCAAAAUUUCAUUUUUUUGACACACCUUGACUGGAAUUAAUUUCUUAUGUGUCUGUGGUAUUGUAAGACAGUUGAAAUAUUUCUGCAAAAACACAUACAAAAAUUUCAAGCAGCUGUUUGAAUGUGUGCCUUGUUAAAACAGUUUUAGAUGUGCUCUUACUAUUCUUUCAGUGACAGGAAAUGUUUAAGGAAUGAGGUUUAGAAAGAAUGAGAACAUGCAUGGAAUGUAUUAGAAAAAUGGAAAAUUUUAAAUGUAGAAUCCAUUGACCACUUCUCAAUGAAAAAUGCUGCAUGUAAAUUAUAAACAAUGUGCUGAUAUUUACUAAAUCAUAAAAUUAUGUUUCAUAGAAUAUCUAAGUUGGAAGGGACCCACAAGAAUCAUUG
Long non-coding RNA from Cygnus olor (mute swan), 1181 nucleotides. RefSeq lists it as uncharacterized. NCBI's taxonomy places the organism in Eukaryota, Metazoa, Chordata, Aves, Anseriformes, Anatidae. The record is from RefSeq and is a predicted model, not a curated record. The transcript is spliced from 3 exons.